AACGAACGCUGGCGGCAUGCCUAACACAUGCAAGUCGAACGAGACCUUCGGGUCUAGUGGCGCACGGGUGCGUAACGCGUGGGAACCUGCCCUUAGGUUCGGAAUAACUCCCCGAAAGGGGUGCUAAUACCGGAUAAUGUCUUCGGACCAAAGAUUUAUCGCCGUUGGAUGGGCCCGCGUUGGCUUAGCUAGUUGGUAGGGUAAAAGCCUACCAAGGCGACGAUCCAUAGCUGGGCUGAGAGGAUGAUCAGCCACACUGGGACUGAGACACGGCCCAGACUCCUACGGGAGGCAGCAGUGGGGAAUAUUGGAAAAUGGGCGAAAGCCUGAUCCAGCAAUGCCGCGUGAGUGAUGAAGUCCUUAGGGUUGUAAAGCUCUUUUACCCGGGAUGAUAAUGACAGUACCGGGAGAAUAAGCUCCGGCUAACUCCGUG
RNAcentral lists this ribosomal RNA (433 nucleotides) under uncultured bacterium. RNAcentral's name for it is "partial 16S ribosomal RNA". It matches the Rfam family "Bacterial small subunit ribosomal RNA", at positions 29 to 507 of the family's 1533-position model. The record is from RNAcentral.